UACGUAGGGUGCAAGCAUUAAUCGGAUUCAUUGGGCGUAAAGGGUGCGUAGGCGGCGUGGUAAGUCGGGUGUGAAAUCUCGGAGCUUAACUCCGAAACUGCAUUCGAUACUGCCGUGCUUGAGGACUGGAGAGGAGACUGGAAUUUACGGUGUAGCGGUGAAAUGCGUAGAUAUCGUAAGGAAGACCAGUGGCGAAGGCGGGUCUCUGGACAGUUCCUGACGCUGAGGCACGAAGGCCAGGGGAGCAAACGGG
This 253-nucleotide ribosomal RNA is filed under the name uncultured bacterium. Its description in RNAcentral is "partial 16S ribosomal RNA". It matches the Rfam family "Bacterial small subunit ribosomal RNA", at positions 524 to 776 of the family's 1533-position model. The record is from RNAcentral.